AUGGUUCUGGAAAACGGCGGCGAUGACGUCAUCGGCGGCGGAGGAGGAGGAGGAGAGGGGCGUGGAGAAGUGGUGCACCGCCAGCGCCGAAUCACCCUGCCAUCGGGUAUCCUGCUCGCCGACGCUAUCCCUCUCGGCGAGCACGAGAAGCAGACAAGGAGCUUGCUCCGGAUUGCUGUAUACAACAUCAGCUACAUCAGAAGCCUAUUCCCUGAGAAGUACUUCAGUGAUAAGUCUGCGCUGGCAGUAGAGAUGAAGCUUAAGAACCUGAUGCAUAUGGAUGCUGACCCCAAGAGACUGAUUCAUUGGAUGAAGAAAGUCUCACUCAGCUAUCCCAACUCAAAUGGGGAGGAAGUUGCAAUGAACAUGAGUCGCACAGGGAGCAAAAAGAAUAGUGCCACAUUCAAGUCAAAUGCAGCAGAAGUCACUCCUGAUCAGAUGAGAUGA
This 447-nucleotide ribosomal RNA is filed under the name Triticum aestivum (bread wheat). Its description in RNAcentral is "partial small subunit ribosomal RNA". The record is from RNAcentral. Lineage: Eukaryota; Viridiplantae; Streptophyta; Magnoliopsida; Poales; Poaceae.